UACGUAGGGCGCAAGCGUUGUCCGGAAUUAUUGGGCGUAAAGAGCUCGUAGGCGGUUUGUCACGUCGGCUGUGAAAACCCGAGGCUCAACCUCGGGCCUGCAGUCGAUACGGGCAGACUAGAGUGCUGUAGGGGAGACUGGAAUUCCUGGUGUAGCGGUGAAAUGCGCAGAUAUCAGGAAGAACACCCGUGGCUAAGGCGGCUCUCUAGUACGGUACUGACGCUGAGACGCGAAAGCGUGGGGAGCGAACAGG
Molecule: ribosomal RNA, 253 nt
Filed under: uncultured bacterium
Lineage: Bacteria
Description: partial 16S ribosomal RNA
Rfam family: Bacterial small subunit ribosomal RNA
Source: RNAcentral